This 253-nucleotide ribosomal RNA is filed under the name uncultured bacterium. RNAcentral describes it as "partial 16S ribosomal RNA". It matches the Rfam family "Bacterial small subunit ribosomal RNA", at positions 524 to 776 of the family's 1533-position model. The record is from RNAcentral.
UACGGGGGGGGCAAGCGUUGUUCGGAAUUACUGGGCGUAAAGGGCUCGUAGGUGGCCAACUAAGUCAGACGUGAAAUCCCUCGGCUUAACCGGGGAACUGCGUCUGAUACUGGAUGGCUGGAGUAUGGGAGAGGGAUGCGGAAUUCCAGGUGUAGCGGUGAAAUGCGCAGAUAUCAGGAGGAACACCGGUGGCGAAGGCGGGUCUCUGGGCCGAUACUGACGCUGAGGAGCGAAAGUGUGGGGAGCGAACAGG